Molecule: ribosomal RNA, 474 nt
Filed under: uncultured organism
Description: partial 16S ribosomal RNA
Rfam family: Bacterial small subunit ribosomal RNA
Source: RNAcentral
GUACACUCCUACGGGAGGCAGCAGUGGGGAAUAUUGCACAAUGGGCGCAAGCCUGAUGCAGCCAUGCCGCGUGUAUGAAGAAGGCCUUCGGGUUGUAAAGUACUUUCAGCGGGGAGGAAGGCAAUACGGUUAAUAACCGUGUUGAUUGACGUUACCCGCAGAAGAAGCACCGGCUAACUCCGUGCCAGCAGCCGCGGUAAUACGGAGGGUGCAAGCGUUAAUCGGAAUUACUGGGCGUAAAGCGCACGCAGGCGGUCUGUCAAGUCGGAUGUGAAAUCCCCGGGCUCAACCUGGGAACUGCAUUCGAAACUGGCAGGCUUGAGUCUUGUAGAGGGGGGUAGAAUUCCAGGUGUAGCGGUGAAAUGCGUAGAGAUCUGGAGGAAUACCGGUGGCGAAAGCGGCCCCCUGGACAAAGACUGACGCUCAGGUGCGAAAGCGUGGGGAGCAAACAGGAUUAGAUACCCCAGUAGUCCC